UUUGCCUCUGCGCCGCCACACGCGAGAGACGCCCCAUCCCAACCACCCGACUCCGCGUCUCCCGCCCGAGACCGGCCGCCGCCGAUGAGGGCCACGCCGGCGCUACCCCUCAGCCCGCCUUCCUCCUCUUUCCACUCUGUUCCCCUCGUUCUCUCUCCGCCCUAUGGUCAGCAGCGACCACCCAAGCUCGCCCCGAUCCAUUGCCCUCUCCUUUUGCCCAGCUUGGGUCCAUCGCCGGCCGUCCAUGGGGCGAGCGUUGCGCCUCCUCCUGAAGCUCCUAUUUUUGUGCCGCCCCGCCUGCACUGCCCACCAGCACCUACCGAGAACUCAUGGUCGCCUUCUGCCAAGCUGCCAGAUUGAUGGCCGACCGCCGCCAUGACCGACCUCAACCUUGUGCACGCCAUGGGCAGCGGCCAUGGAGGCCGCACCUUCAGCCUCUCGCUCGCCGCCAGCUAGGACCUCUAUGAACAUCUCAUUCAUCUAUAUCAAGGACCAAUCUACGUCACCUGAGGUUGACAGUAGUUCGGCCAGGGGCAUCACGACCACAUCCUGAUAUCCUCUGCCUUGGGCACGGUCACCACUGCUUUCCUUCCUUGGAGCAAAGAAUUAUGAGCUCUCCCGUACACGGCUGAAGCGCCUACAGAAUCAUGGGGUCAGGAAAGCAAUGAAAGUUAGCAACGGGAGAUCGUAGCGAUGUCUGAACGGCCGUCUGCUACUGAAGCUCGUCCACCAUCCUCUCUCUGAUGAGAUCAAAAGCCUCUUCGCUCCUUCACUAUGAGAGUAACGUCGAAUGUCGCCGGCGGAGGAAAAUCAUCCGACGAGCCGUCCAAUGUCAGGUCCACCGGCGAAAGAAGAACAUCCGUCGAGCCGUCCAUCGUCUGAGGUGGCUACACCAGAGGUAUGUCUCCCCUUGAAAGUUAAUCAGUGAUACAAGACCCUGUUUCAGUUUGCUAUUUGUGAAAAAUUGGCGCUACUUCCGAUUGCUCUUCAGAUUCUGUUUCCCCCCUUAGUUCUCUGUAUGUUCAUGUGCUUCCCAUUGAAUCUUCAGUUCUCAAAUUCAUUGCAACUUACAAGCAACCCUGAUGCAAAACCUAGAUGCCUAGAUUGAUGCGUAAAAAAAGACUAAUGACUUGCGUUUCAGUUUGGGACAUGCAUGGCUGCAUGUGCGUAUCUACAUCCACUCAUUGGUUCACUAGCACAUAUAGUGGUGUAUGGAUCAUUGCUCAUCUUCUGGCCAUACAAUUCCAGAAAAGAAAGAGUUUCGGCCAUAUCAUGCUCACAUUAGCAUCAAAAUAUUCCGAAUCAGGUAUUUCUGGAGCCAUCACCUAUGUCACCAACUAUGCCCGAAUCAGAUAAUUAGAGAGAUCGUGAUCCAUUGGCAUCACCUCCAUCCCCAUCUAGCUCGACAUCAUCUCAUGUUUUUUCAUUACAUGAUGUCAAGGAACCAGAUUCACAUAAAGAGAUCAAAGUCGAUGAGACAUAUGAUUAUCUCCCACAAGGUAUUUAUUUGAUUUAUUAUGUGUACUUUCAUAAAUUAUAAUCAGGAAAAUCCAAAGUAAAAUUGGUAUGUCAAAUAGUACAAUUCAUCUCGAAAUGUCAAAUGACUCAAAUUUCUGAUUCCAUUUUUGACAUCUAAACGCAUAACUAAUAUUGUUUUCCUACCAAUAUGCUUGUGUAGGGAGCCCAAUCGGUGGAGGUGAUUUGUCAAAGAGAAUUCUAGCAGCCAACAGUUAAUAGGCGGUGAGCAGGGAGACAAUGAACAUGUAGAGCUCGAAGUUUUUUUUUAGAAAGCAAAGCUGGAGUUUGGUUUGUACUUAAGACAUCACUUAAGAAGUUCUUCACCACAUGUAAAUUUUUUUGGAGCUUCGAAGGAUAUACAUUUUUGGGGUUGCCAAUUAUAAGAGUUAAUGGAGUGCUUUAAAAUUUGA
Long non-coding RNA from Triticum dicoccoides, 1928 nucleotides. RefSeq lists it as uncharacterized. NCBI's taxonomy places the organism in Eukaryota, Viridiplantae, Streptophyta, Magnoliopsida, Poales, Poaceae. The transcript is spliced from 3 exons. The record is from RefSeq and is a predicted model, not a curated record.